GGAGGCUGUACUUUUAAGGAGAUUUUAGACCUCUGCUCAAAAAUGUGUUAUGUUUUCUACUUCAACUGCUGCUUAGAAUAUUUGGUUGUGAGAAGGACAGGAGCUGUUUUGGAAAUCAGUCUGACAAACGAUCGCUAAAACGGUGUGUAGCCAAGGUGAGCCCUAAAAAGUAAGGGCUGUUGCUAAGGGAACCGCUAGAGAGAUGUUUAGGGUAUAAACUUUGCUAUCGUAUUUAAAUUUCUUGCUACAGCCCUUGCUUACUGGACUUGAAAAUUUAAACAGCUCCGGUCAGGACAGGAAUGUCCUAGGGGUGAUGGAUGUGAUACGGUGGAGGGCACUGUCAGAAGAGGCAGUGUAGGCUGCUGCAGAGAAGGGAAGGGGUCUGCUGAACAAGAAGAUCACUUUCUGGACUCAGAGAUGCAUGACUUUGAGUGCGAAUUGGCUUACGAUUGGAGAAGAUCGUCCCCGUGCAGCGGCCAAGGUCAGGCUGCCUGCAAAUAUAGACCCUUUCCUCUGCUGCUGUAUUGCCUGUUACAUUAAAUACAGUAUAUGACCAGAGUUUAUUAAUACUGUACUAUAGUCAACAUCCAUUAGUGACAGUGAAAGUCGUCCUGCACAAUAACCUUCCUCUCUCGUCUCCCUCACACCAGCUAUGAAAGUUUUCAAAGGGUAAGAGACCAAUGAUGCAUAUGCUAUCCAUCUGAAGAGCUAUAGAGAAAUAAAAAAUACUGAGAGCCCUGUCCACUUUUUAUUUUGUCCUGUUGAGAGAAGGAGAGGUUAGUGAACUAUUUGCCAAGGGAAGGAGGUGGCCAGUGGGGCCUCCAAGAUCAUCCCGGAAGCAUGGCCCAGAAGCAAUAACUAUUAGAUUCUAGAAGGCAAUGCUCAACAGGAAGGGCAGUGAAAAACAGAGUAACUCAAAUGGUUUAGAGAGAGCCCUGUCUUAUACCCAGGAGCCUUUCCUUCUAGGAGUGCUGGCUGAUGAUGGGAACUGUAAGAGAGCUCCGGUCAUGGAAUGGGGUAAUGUUGGAGUGGCUCUGGUGACCCUUUUAACCUGGAGGCUCAUCUACCUCCUCUGGUCUGAAACACCAAGUCUCGUGUGGGGUCUAUGCAUAUACCGGCCAUCCCAUCAACAGUGAAGUCACACAUAAUUUGCCAAAUCGUGAGUUCCCGGGUAAGGCCUCUACUCCUUUGCUACGAGGCUGAUCAGAAGCCGAGUCUUUCGUUCUUUUUCUACGAAGUUAGCAACAUAGAAUAUGGGGAGAAGAGAUUAAAAUGUUCUAAGAAUAAAAUGUGGCAUCUCUAAAAAUUACCUUUUCA
Molecule: long non-coding RNA, 1317 nt
Filed under: Felis catus (domestic cat)
Lineage: Eukaryota; Metazoa; Chordata; Mammalia; Carnivora; Felidae
Description: lncRNA (ENSFCAG00000048168.1)
Source: RNAcentral